GACGAACGCUGGCGGCGUGCUUAACACAUGCAAGUCGAACGAGUGGCGAACGGGUGAGUAAUACGUGAGUAACCUGCCCUCUUUUUGGGAUAAGCCUUGGAAACGGGGUCUAAUACCGAAUAAAGGGGGAUGGGCUCGCGGCCUAUCAGCUUGUUGGUGGGGUGAUGGCCUACCAAGGCGGUGACGGGUAGCCGGCCUGAGAGGGUGAGCGGCCACAUUGGGACUGAGAUACGGCCCAGACUCCUACGGGAGGCAGCAGUGGGGGGUAUUGCACAAUGGGCGAAAGCCUGAUGCAGCGACGCCGCGUGGGGGAUGAAGGCCUUCGGGUUGUAAACUUCUUUUGCUCUGAACAGGGGUUGAUUAGCGCCGGCUAACUACGUGCCAGCAGCCGCGGUAAUUC
Molecule: ribosomal RNA, 400 nt
Filed under: uncultured bacterium
Lineage: Bacteria
Description: partial 16S ribosomal RNA
Rfam family: Bacterial small subunit ribosomal RNA
Source: RNAcentral